This 375-nucleotide ribosomal RNA is filed under the name uncultured organism. Its description in RNAcentral is "bacterial SSU rRNA". It matches the Rfam family "Archaeal small subunit ribosomal RNA", at positions 476 to 851 of the family's 1478-position model. The record is from RNAcentral.
CCAGCACCCCGAGUGGUCGGGACGAUUAUUGGGCCUAAAGCAUCCGUAGCCGGUUUUACAAGUCCUCCGUUAAAUCCAACUGCUUAACAGAUGGGCCGCGGAGGAUACUAUAAGACUAGGAGGCAGGAGAGGCAAGCGGUACUCAGUGGGUAGGGGUAAAAUCCGUUGAUCCAUUGAAGACCACCAGUGGCGAAGGCGGCUGGCCAGAAUGCGCUCGACGGUGAGGGAUGAAAGCUGGGGGAGCAAACCGGAUUAGAUACCCGGGUAGUCCCAGCCGUAAACGAUGCAGACUCGGUGAUGGACCAGCUUCAUGCUAGUCCAGUGCCGCAGGGAAGCCGUUAAGUCAGCCGCCUGGGUAGUACGGUCGCAAGACUG